RNAcentral lists this ribosomal RNA (255 nucleotides) under uncultured bacterium. RNAcentral describes it as "partial 16S ribosomal RNA". It matches the Rfam family "Bacterial small subunit ribosomal RNA", at positions 524 to 776 of the family's 1533-position model. The record is from RNAcentral.
UACGGAGGGGGGCUAGCGUUGUUCGGAAAUACUGGGCGUAAAGCGAACGUAGGCGGCUUGGCAAGUCAGGGGUGAAAUCCCAGUGCUCAACACUGGAACUGCCUUUGAAACUGCCAGGCUUGAAUCCUGGAGAGGCGAGUGGAAUUCCCGAGUGUAGAGGUGAAAUUCGUAGAUAUUCGGAAGAACACCAGUGGCGAAGGCGACUCGCUGGACAGGUAUUGACGCUGAGGUUCGAAAGCGUGGGGAGCAAACAGG